This 472-nucleotide ribosomal RNA is filed under the name uncultured bacterium. RNAcentral describes it as "bacterial SSU rRNA". It matches the Rfam family "Bacterial small subunit ribosomal RNA", at positions 28 to 507 of the family's 1533-position model. The record is from RNAcentral.
GAUGAACGCUGGCGGCGUGCCUAACACAUGCAAGUCGAACGAAGCACUUUGAAGUUUUCGGACAGAUGGGUGACUGAGUGGCGGACGGGUGAGUAACGCGUGGGUAACCUGCCUCAUACAGGGGGAUAACAGUUAGAAAUGACUGCUAAUACCGCAUAAUGUUAUUUGGGGGCAUCCCUGAAUAACCAAAGCUUUAUGUGCUGAAAGAUGGUCUCGCGUCUGAUUAGCUAGAUGGCGGGGUAACGGCCCACCAUGGCGACGAUCAGUAGCCGGUCUGAGAGGAUGAACGGCCACAUUGGGACUGAGAUACGGCCCAGACUCCUACGGGAGGCAGCAGCUAAGAAUAUUCCGCAAUGGGGGAAACCCUGACGGAGCGACGCCGCGUGGAGGAAGAAGGUUUUCGGAUUGUAAACUCCUGUCUUAAAGGACGAUAAUGACGGUACUUUAGGAGGAAGCUCCGGCUAACUACGUG